UUUUAUUUUAAAAAAUCGUAACAAGGUCUCCGUUGGUGAACCAGCGGAGGGAUCAUUACCGAGUUUACAACUCCCAAACCCAAUGUGAACCAUACCAAACUGUUGCCUCGGCGGGGUCACGCCCCGGGUGCGUCGCAGCCCCGGAACCAGGCGCCCGCCGGAGGGACCAACCAAACUCUUUACUGUAGUCCCCUCGCGGACGUUAUUUCUUACAGCUCUGAGCAAAAAUUCAAAAUGAAUCAAAACUUUCAACAACGGAUCUCUUGGUUCUGGCAUCGAUGAAGAACGCAGCGAAAUGCGAUAAGUAAUGUGAAUUGCAGAAUUCAGUGAAUCAUCGAAUCUUUGAACGCACAUUGCGCCCGCCAGUAUUCUGGCGGGCAUGCCUGUCCGAGCGUCAUUUCAACCCUCGAACCCCUCCGGGGGGUCGGCGUUGGGGAUCGGGAACCCCUCAGACGGGAUCCCGGCCCCGAAAUACAGUGGCGGUCUCGCCGCAGCCUCUCCUGCGCAGUAGUUUGCACAACUCGCACCGGGAGCGCGGCGCGUCCACGUCCGUAAAACACCCAACUUCUGAAAUGUUGACCUCGGAUCAGGAGAAAUUA
This 599-nucleotide ribosomal RNA is filed under the name Trichoderma erinaceum. RNAcentral describes it as "partial 18S ribosomal RNA". The stretch from base 244 to 397 matches the Rfam family "5.8S ribosomal RNA". The record is from RNAcentral. Lineage: Eukaryota; Fungi; Ascomycota; Sordariomycetes; Hypocreales; Hypocreaceae.